UGGGGAAUAUUGCGCAAUGGGGGGAACCCUGACGCAGCCAUGCCGCGUGUGUGAAGAAGGCCUUUUGGUUGUAAAGCACUUUAAGUGGGGAGGAAAAGCUUAUGGUUAAUACCCAUAAGCCCUGACGUUACCCACAGAAUAAGCACCGGCUAACUCUGUGCCAGCAGCCGCGGUAAUACAGAGGGUGCAAGCGUUAAUCGGAAUUACUGGGCGUAAAGCGCGCGUAGGUGGUUAUUUAAGUCAGAUGUGAAAGCCCCGGGCUUAACCUGGGAACUGCAUCUGAUACUGGAUAACUAGAGUAGGUGAGAGGGGAGUAGAAUUCCAGGUGUAGCGGUGAAAUGCGUAGAGAUCUGGAGGAAUACCGAUGGCGAAGGCAGCUCCCUGGCAUCAUACUGACACUGAGGUGCGAAAGCGUGGGUAGCAAACAGGAUUAGAUACCCUGGUAGUCCACGCCGUAAACGAUGUCUACCAGUCGUUGGGUCUUUUAAAGACUUAGUGACGCAGUUAACGCAAUAAGUAGACCGCCUGGGGAGUACGGCCGCAAGGUUA
RNAcentral lists this ribosomal RNA (549 nucleotides) under uncultured bacterium. Its description in RNAcentral is "bacterial SSU rRNA". It matches the Rfam family "Bacterial small subunit ribosomal RNA", at positions 355 to 896 of the family's 1533-position model. The record is from RNAcentral.